Salarias fasciatus (jewelled blenny) is the source of this 913-nucleotide long non-coding RNA. RefSeq lists it as uncharacterized. The record is from RefSeq and is a predicted model, not a curated record. NCBI's taxonomy places the organism in Eukaryota, Metazoa, Chordata, Actinopteri, Blenniiformes, Blenniidae. The transcript is spliced from 5 exons.
CCCUCCCCGGCCCCCUCCUCCACCCAGCAGCCCCUCCACCCCCUUCGAGCCGUUCGCAGCCAUCCAGACCGACUGGAAGGCAACAAAAGGGGCAGGAGUCGGUGUCGCUGCAGCCGCACGCAGAGCAGCGCGGAGGACGGGACCGGGACCGGGACCGGCGCUCCGGGAGGGGGCGAUCUGAGCGAGCGACGCGGCGGAGGUCCGGGUCUGGAGCGAGGGGACCCGGGGGGGGGGGGACGGACACCCAGCACCGGAGCGGACCGCACGCGAGCGGAGCCAGGCUCGACUUUCUCCCGCUCCGAUCCCCGCUCCUCGUGGGGGGGGGGGGCGGGGGCGACCGACGACUUCCUGCUCUGUGCUGAGAUGAAGGCCGGGAUGAAGAGGAAGGAGGCCGCCUGCAGCUGAAGGCCCCGCACCACCAGGACGGAGACGAGGCGGACCGCAGGAGGCCCCGGGAAAUCAUUAACCGCUCGCAAACACACACCAUGACUGACUGGAUCCCGCUCCGCCCGCCGUCUCCCUGACUCCGCCCUCCAGCUCCGCCCUGGCAGCGGGGCUCCGCCCACCUGCCCUCCUGGAGCCCGGGACGCCUUCCACGCCUCGCAGCUACAACAGAGACCUCAGGGGGGGCCGCCCCUCCCCGGGACCCCCUCCCCCCUCCCCGCCUCCCCCAUCCCCGCCCGCCAUGCGUCACUGACCCACCCCUUCCAACCGGCGAAUGACAAGCGCGCAUCCGAGGGCGGGGCUUGCCUCAGUCUCUCAUGAUUGGCCGCUGGAUGGAAUUAAGGUGAAUGGAACACAUGCCCAAGGAGCCGGACUCGAACCCAGCAGAGGGAGACCAGAAACAGUGGCUCAAUGGCCCAAAAAGGAAGAGGAAGAACAGCCAAUGUUCUGUGAAGAGUAUGACUGGUGA